This 522-nucleotide ribosomal RNA is filed under the name uncultured organism. RNAcentral's name for it is "bacterial SSU rRNA". It matches the Rfam family "Bacterial small subunit ribosomal RNA", at positions 32 to 568 of the family's 1533-position model. The record is from RNAcentral.
AACGCUGGCGGCGUGCUAAUACAUGCAAGUCGAUCGAGAACCCUUGAGAUCGUCUGGGGGGGAGAGUGUGCGAACUGGUGAGUAACACGUGUGUGACCUGCCCCGAAGACGGGGAUAACCGUUGGAAACGACGGCUAAUACCCGAUAUACUCGGUGAUUCGGUUCAUCGAGUAAAGGCUCCGGUGCUUCGGGAUGGGCCUGCGGCCUAUCAGCUAGUUGGUGGGGUAAUGGCCCACCAAUGCGAAGACGGGUAGGGGGCUGUGAGAGCGCGGCCCCCCACACUGGCACUGAGAUACGGGCCAGACUUCUACGGAAGGCAGCAGUCGGGGAUAUUGCACAAUCGGCGAAAGCCUGGAUGCUGCGACGCCGCGUGGGCGAUGAAGGCCUUCGGGUUGUAGAGCCCUUUUAUGGGGGAAGAGACACGGACUGUACCCCAGGAAUACGCGUCGGCUAACUACGUGCCAUCAGCCGCGCUAAAACGUAGGACGCAAGCGUUAUCCGGAUUUACUGGGCGUAAAGAGC